GGAGAGAUGGCUCAGAGGUUAAGAGCACUGACUGCUUUUCUGGAGGUCCUGAGUUCAAAUCCCAGCAACCACA
This 73-nucleotide transfer RNA is filed under the name Mus musculus (house mouse). Its description in RNAcentral is "tRNA-Ser". The record is from RNAcentral. Lineage: Eukaryota; Metazoa; Chordata; Mammalia; Rodentia; Muridae.